Molecule: ribosomal RNA, 260 nt
Filed under: uncultured prokaryote
Description: partial 16S ribosomal RNA
Rfam family: Bacterial small subunit ribosomal RNA
Source: RNAcentral
UACGUAGGGUGCGAGCGUUGUCCGGAAUUACUGGGCGUAAAGAGCUCGUAGGUGGUUUGUCACGUCGUCUGUGAAAUUCCGGGGCUUAACCUCGGGCGUGCAGGCGAUACGGGCAAUACUUGAGUGCUGUAGGGGAGACUGGAAUUCCUGGUGUAGCGGUGAAAUGCGCAGAUAUCAGGAGGAACACCAAUGGCGAAGGCAGGUCUCUGGGCAGUUACUGAUGCUGAGGAGCGAAAGCAUGGGUAGCGAACAGGAUUAGA